UCGAGACCCAGGCGGUCUGCUAUUUUCUGAGACAGGUCCGGAUGUGAGCUCCCGCUAAAUAUUUUGAUAUUCGGCAUUUUUUUUGCGGUCCAGGGCGUCGUUCAGUCCGAGAGGGCGGCGGCAGCGAACAGCUGUCGAGUCGGAGGAGUCGAGUCCAAGACAACAACUGGAAAUGGAUCAACAGUUGAUGAGCUACUCUUACCGAGCUUAAGUGUCUUCCCUACCUAUCCACCAUUAUGUCCCACACAUCACGCCUCUUCCUCGCGGGGCCGCGCGCACGCUUUCGCUUACGUUCUGCUGCGGUGACGUCAUUCCCGGAAGAGGAGGGGUCCUCAGCAGAAAGUGGAAUAGUUUAUUUUCGUUCAGUUUAAUUCCAUCCAUAAAGAUCCCUGGCAAGUGACUUCAGGACCACAGAGACAACAUGUCAAACAGACCCCAGUAAACGAUGGCAGUUGACAGUGAGCCAGCAUCCACAAUAGGACCCUGAAACUAAAGCAGGGGCUGGUUCUCCUGCAGCAGAUGCAACCUCUGAUUCUGGUCCAGACCACCUGCCUCCAGCACCAAUGCAAAGUGCUCUAUGUAGCGCAGUGAGAGGCGGUCCUGCAGGGAGGAGAUCACAUCCUGGAGAAGAGAAAUGAAAACAGAUUAGAAAUUGAAAGAGAUUUCCACAGUAAGAAUGUGCUUUAAUGCAACAAAAAAUAUGUAUUUGGCGUAUAGAGGCUUAUUUUCUCCCUGAAGUCACUCCAAGUUUGUCUAGGGUAGUUUGUCAAUUGUAUAUCUUUGUGAUCUGUUUAGGCUCUUUACUUUGAAAUCAUUUGUCAUUUUUUGCUAUGGAGAGAAUCCAUAGAUAUUAUAAAUUCUGCACAGUGAGUGCGUCCUAUUUAAGAAAAUAACGUCUGCAUGCCAGGGUGUGCAGAGCAAGCUCUUGUGCAGAUCAAUAUCUUGGAAUGAUGUAGCUCUUUUCUCAUAUCCUCUUUCUAAAAUGUACAGAGAACACUGUCUGAGGGGAAAUUCACUGUUUAUCACAUCUUACCAUGGGCUAUACCUGAGGAUAAUGUUUCAUUAUUUCUUUGCCGUUUUAAUAUAUUAGAGGUAUGAAAAAUUAAAAGGGAUUCCAUUGUAGUGAUAUGUUACUGUAAGCAUGUGAGUAUGGAGGCUCAUUAAAAGCUUUAAAGUAUGUACACUAAUGCUGUGCUCUCCACAAACAGUUAAACUGACACUCCCUGAUGUAACCUAAGCAACAACUGUCUCUGAAAAACAGGGAUAAGCAGAUUUAACAGUAUUGACCUGUGCGGUUUGCAUUAAAUGACACCUGGGGAAGCCACACAAUUAACUGAAAGACCCACAGAAAGCUAUAGAUUGCAGCUUAAAAUACUGCAGGAAAGCUUCUUUAGUUGACAGACAGUCUAAUGGGCAUACAACUGGGCAUCCUAUUGUGCCACUGAUUUAAUCGGUGGUAUUGUUUUAUUGAUAUGGGCCUUCUUAUGCUGAAUUUCCAUUUAAUUAAGCUGACAGGGGCGAGCUUCUUCCAUGUCUCCUUUAAAGUGCCUCUGUGUUUCUCCUUUUCUCGCUCACUCUCCCUCCAUGAGUAGGGGAGAGAUUUGUGAAAUCUAAUAGAGUCCGUUUAAUGAGUCUGCUCGGAGAUGUCAGACUCAUCUUAGAGGCUGACAUGGAGACAGAAAUGACCUCUGUCUGACUGAAUUAAUUUGUUGCUUUAUGGUCUUCAUCACAAUACUGAGAUUUUAAAUUCCAAAAACUGAUAGGGUGAAGUUUCACAAAUUAAAGAGUUUUUUUCUGUUUACUAUUGCUUAUUAGAUAUGAAUUAGAAAGUGAUUUAUGGUUAAAGUGUCAAUUUGUGUGUUACAGACCUUGAAGAUGUGUGGGAAAUCAUAUGUGAGAACUUGCGCCUGGGUUGUAUUGAUAAUCGCUCCACAUGAAGCUUUAAAACAAUCAUUGUAUUAUAUAAUGCUAAAAAUCCAUAGUUAUGCCAUAUUAAAUAACCACCAACAAGGCAACAAUAGUUCGCUCAUGUUUUGUGUAUUUAUGAUGUGAGGCUAAGUGUUAGGAAUUGAUUAUUUUGGCCAAUUGGGGGGAGUGCAUCAACCUUGACAUAUUAUCACCAUAUGACGUUGUGUGUUUGCAAAUAUAUGCUUAGCUACACAUCCAGCAGACAAGUAGCAACACUGGCAUUCAUUUAGAGUCGUGUUUACGGCCACUUGACGAACACGAGUCCAAUAUUCACUCUCCUUUUAGCUCUGUUUUUGGUCUUUACUAGCUCCUGAGAAAUUUAUCUGGCUCUUUAGCUGCUAUAUGCUUCCACUAUGUUCACCAGCUUGUUGCUAAUUUUCUCAGCCUACCAUUUCGAGCUGUGCAGUUGAUCUGAGUUUUAGUCUUUAAAGCUGCCUGCUGCAACUGGAAUUAGACACUGAUGAGAGUGGUGAGAGUGAACAAAAGCAUUAAACAUGCUCCAUAGAGUUGGGUGGUAAUUAUCUGUGGGUUCAUGACUACGAGUGAUGUUGUAUUAUGGCUGCUUUAAGUAAAAUCACGGUAAUGUUGAAAUUCAGUUACCUUUCCCAAGUGCCCAGCAGUAGUAAAUACAUACCCUAACAGUGGUACGGCUAUCAAAUGUAAAGGACUUAAUCUGUCCAUUCUCCAAGAACACCUUCAACACAUUUGGUAUGAGCAGCAAGGAGUCGUCCUUGAGCAUUGUCUGAAAGAGAUUUAGGAGAAAAAAUCAGCUUUGGUUUAGUGAAAAAAAAGAUAGCAUGUGUGAGAAUGUGUCAAAAAGUUAAUCAAGAAUUAUUUGUACCCUACAAAGACAAUCAGAUGUAAUGGUAGGUCUCUGCUUUGUACCAAAGUAAUGAACAAGGAGAAGUUCCUUUAGGAGGAGUGCUAAUAAACAAAGGUGUCUUAUGUGAUUCUUUGACUGAAGUCUGGAGAGUCGGAGAAGGAGCACAACUCUGCCUUAGGAUGCCUGUCCCAUGCAUUGUAUCAGGAUCAAAGAAGGGCUUAUUCAAUUUAUCCAGUCUAUCCUUUCAAUAUGUAUGCUGUGCAAUGAAAAUUGGAUGGUGUGCAGGGAUUGAAAGCAUUCACCACAGAGUUUUGUGAGUGGAGGCAUAAGAGGAGAGGCCUGAUUCAAGGUUACUGCUUUUACUCAAAGCACUCUUUAUAAGAAAAGUUAUGAUAUGCAGUUCAGUUCAUUCUUACUAGGAUGUGAUGUGACGGGCACUCUCCUCAUCCUGACUACUUUCUUUUUUAUUGUACUGAGGGCUUUUUAAGAAAAUGACAUAGUAUUCAUUAUAUAGUUUGAAAGAACCACAGUUGUGAUCAGAGGGAGGAAUAUAUUGUUUUAAUGUGACAUGUGGCAAAGAUGCAGCCUUGCAGUCCAAAUAAAAUCCUCCAUAAAUUUGGGCCAAAACAAAACACUUCUUCAUUUUUAUCUGAUGAUGCGGAUUUGUAAGAACAGCAGGCAUACAUUACUCAUGACAGUAAAGGGAUGUGGAUUUGCUGCAA
Long non-coding RNA from Micropterus dolomieu (smallmouth bass), 3513 nucleotides. RefSeq lists it as uncharacterized. Lineage: Eukaryota; Metazoa; Chordata; Actinopteri; Centrarchiformes; Centrarchidae. The transcript is spliced from 4 exons. The record is from RefSeq and is a predicted model, not a curated record.